Long non-coding RNA from Belonocnema kinseyi, 276 nucleotides. RefSeq lists it as uncharacterized. The record is from RefSeq and is a predicted model, not a curated record. The transcript is spliced from 2 exons. NCBI's taxonomy places the organism in Eukaryota, Metazoa, Arthropoda, Insecta, Hymenoptera, Cynipidae.
UUAAAACCUUUCACAUUCGGAAAGCACAACAAAUAUAACAUUUUGAGUCACACUGUGCACGAGAGAACGGUUACAUUUUCAUAAUGAAGAUAUUUUUAUUGACUUUAGUAUACAUGACAUGUUUAGUUUUUGUUGCAUGUGAUUCGGAAGAGGAAUUUGAUGUUGCUGGUUACCAGCCUCUGUAUGAAAGGUUGCUCUUUGGAUAUUAAUAAUUUAUGUUACACGUACGACCUAAAAUGUGUAUCAUGUUCAAUAAAUAAAUAAAAAUCUAAGUUG